GCCCCGUGACCCUAGCUUGAGGUGACGGCGGGAGCCAAGGCGGGGGCCCAAAGCACUGAGGCUGAGGGACCCGCCACGGCUCCGUCGUCCGAGAGGCAGGGCCUGCUGCCGUCGGGCAGAGCCUCUGGACUCCCAGGUUCCUGGCCAGGGAGGAGGAGGAAAAAGCAAGACCUAUCUGCCAGGGCUGAGCGUGGCCUGAGGGCCAGGCUGUUGGUCCUGGGAUGCCCCAGCCCCAGUCCAGUGAGCAAGAGGGUGAGAGCAUGAAGGCCACCCAGGAGCCAGCUCCUCAGCCUGGCACAGAUGUGGUCCCAGCAGCCCCCAGGAAGCCCAGAAAAUUCUCCAAACUGGUCCUGCUGACAGCCUCCAAAGACAGCGCCAAAGUGGCUGGGGCCAAGCGUAAAGGAGUGCACUGCAUCAUGUCCCUGGGAGUGCCAGGCCCGGCCACCUUGGCUAAGGCCCUCCUCAAGACUCAUCCUGAGGCUCAACGGGCCAUUGAAGCAACUCCCCCGGAGCCUGAACAGAAGCGCAGCAAGCCGAACCUGGCCAGCUCAGACUAUGGGAGGAAUGAGGUGGCAGGUAGCAGACCGAUUGGCUGAGGACAAACAAAAGAGACUGGCAGGUAUCCUCUGAGCAUUCAAGGGAUUGGGGGAACAGCAAGUGGCCGAGCUUCAGUACUCAUCAGUGUCAGGAAAUUGGUGGGUGGGGCUGAGGUAGGCAGAGAUGGCAGAGAUGAUGGCCACAGGAUGUACUUAUACACAGACGUGCCAGCACACAUAGUCCCCAAAGUCACUAGAGCUAGAAGGAGAGCUCUAGGCCCACAGCACUGGAGGCCCAGGGAGGGUACAAGGUACCUUCCUGGGUGAAGCUGAACUGUCCCUAACCUGUGUGUUUUAGUGUGUAUGUGUCUUUCUGUAUGUGCACAUGAUUGACAAUUCCUGUGUGUUCUCUGGCUGUCGUCCAUGUGAGCAUCUCUGUCAUUGUCCUUCUUGUCCAUUUGUAUGACUUUUACCUUUAAGGGUGGGUGUCAGUCUUUAGCGGUUCCCCCUCCACCCCCAGGCCUGAGGCAGGAGAUACCGUAACUCAACACACCUUUGGGUUAACUCAGCGGCAGAUACAUGAACCAAUCUCUUCCCAACAGAAGCAGCACCAGUCAGGCCCUGAGAUGCUGGGGAUGAGAAAAGUCCUGGGCUUCCAUGUUCUGCCUUUGCACAGGAGACCCCUGGGGAUCACCCAUGCGCUCAACCAGCAAGAGAAAGGAGGGGGAGCCCCCGUGCUACCACCAGACAGCUGGGCUGCAAGGGAGAAACUUAAUGGGAUGGCCUAAAGUCAGAGUUUCAUAGUCACACAGCCCAUCCCCACCAUUAGGGGGCUAAAAUCUCAGGCAAGCCAAGAUGGAUGCCCAUAUAGCUACAAGCCUAGAGUUUCUUGGGGACCAUAAGGAUCCUCAGCCUCCUACUCACAACAUGAGCAGUACGGCGGAGUCCAGGAAUACCUUGGUAAGCUAUCUUUUUGUGAGUGUUUUUAUAGUCGAUCCUGCUCUGGGUGCAUUCCUGUCCUCCCACCUGGUUCUCACCAGCACAGGGGUAGAAAAAGGGGUCUCCUAGCCCCACAGGAGACUGAUUUUAGCGUCACUACCCUGAGGCCUCCUGCACAGAAGGAGAGGGAUGGACUCUGGCUGGGAAAGCAGUCUUCCCACAAGAGCUGGGUAUAGAGCCGUCAUGUGGGGCCCUUCCAACCAUGGGAGACCCUGCCUUGCUUCUUCUGUAAGUUCAGGCUCCACCGUGCUUUGGCUUCUGUGAGAACUGGAACAAAACUCACUUCUCCAGAUGUGACAGACAAAGGAAGGAUGGCACCCCCUUCAGCGCUGUGCUGGGCAGGUGCUUUUGAUCAGUGGACAACCUGCUGUCCUACAAGCAGACCUCCCUGUCUCUGCCCCACCCCUGGCCAGGUAGUGGCCAUUCAGUCACUUCCUGCUCAGCUUUUUCUUGGAAACGACUUAAGAAAGGUCACAAGUUUGUGACCCUAGGUUUGUGGCUUUUGAGGAAUAGUGUUCUCACUGUGGCAGUUCUCUAAGUCAGUUAACAAAGCCAUCUAGCCCUACGCUGACCCCUAAGAUGCUAGGGUGAGAAUGGCCCUCAGCUUACAGAAGAAGAGGAGGAGCCCAGGGCCAGCCUCUGCCAGCCAUACUUAGUUCAGUUACCAAGUUGGCCUCUCUGUCUUUCUCCCAGAUACAGAUGGACCAGAAGACAAUGGAGGGUCAGGAGGGUCGUCUUCAAGUCCAGCGGAGACCACUGUAUUCCCCAAGGCCCCCAGCGCUUCUCCAUAACCUGGGCAACUGCUGCUGCAUAAGUUACUUUUCUAAGUAAGAAACAAAAAAGAAAGAGAAAAUAAAAGAAGCUGCUGUUUCCCACCA
This is an RNA transcript of Rattus rattus (black rat), 2413 nucleotides long. It is a transcript of the gene named FLYWCH family member 2, with no coding region annotated. The transcript has 4 exons. The record is from RefSeq and is a predicted model, not a curated record. Lineage: Eukaryota; Metazoa; Chordata; Mammalia; Rodentia; Muridae.